UUGGUUUUUUUUUUUUCGUUCUCUCGCAUUCUCUCUCCGCUCGAUUCCUCUCCAAAUUUUCAAAAUUUAAUUCCAAUUUUUAAUAGUUUUAUUUGGUUUGAGGAAUUAGCAAUUCCUCAAAACCUGCAUGUGGCGUCGGUGAUCAAAUCCUCACGUUUCAAAAUGACGUGCUGCGGAGAAGAGGAGGAUAUAUAUAUGCUCAGCCUAUUAACCCGGCCGUUCCUCCACCAAAUCGACCGGGUAAAUCUCCUAAAUUAGAUUGGCGAUAUCUGUAGUUUAUUGCUGCCAAAAUUUUAAUUUUUUGUUGUUUGCUUCGCAACACGGUACUUGCGAAAUGUAAAUAGAUUUACGAUCUGUUGAAAAAAGUUCCGUGAAAUAUGAUUGAAACAAGCGAUCAA
Long non-coding RNA from Asparagus officinalis (garden asparagus), 398 nucleotides. RefSeq lists it as uncharacterized. The transcript has 2 exons. The record is from RefSeq and is a predicted model, not a curated record. Lineage: Eukaryota; Viridiplantae; Streptophyta; Magnoliopsida; Asparagales; Asparagaceae.